GUGGGGAAUAUUGCACAAUGGAGGAAACUCUGAUGCAGCGAUGUCGCGUGAGGGAAGAAGGUUUUAGGAUUGUAAACCUCUGUCUUCAGGGACGAAAAAAGACGGUACCUGAGGAGGAAGCUCCGGCUAACUACGUGCCAGCAGCCGCGGUAAUACGUAGGGAGCGAGCGUUGUCCGGAAUUACUGGGUGUAAAGGGAGCGUAGGCGGGAUCGCAAGUCAGAUGUGAAAACUAUGGGCUUAACCCAUAAACUGCAUUUGAAACUGUGGUUCUUGAGUGAAGUAGAGGUAAGCGGAAUUCCUAGUGUAGCGGUGAAAUGCGUAGAUAUUAGGAGGAACAUCAGUGGCGAAGGCGGCUUUCUGGACUGUAACUGACGCUGAGGCUCGAAAGCUAGGGUAGCGAACGGGAUUAGAAACCCCAGUAGUCC
RNAcentral lists this ribosomal RNA (426 nucleotides) under uncultured bacterium. Its description in RNAcentral is "partial 16S ribosomal RNA". It matches the Rfam family "Bacterial small subunit ribosomal RNA", at positions 354 to 796 of the family's 1533-position model. The record is from RNAcentral.